CCUACGGGAGGCAGCAGUGAGGAAUAUUGGUCAAUGGACGAGAGUCUGAACCAGCCAAGUAGCGUGAAGGAUGACUGCCCUAUGGGUUGUAAACUUCUUUUAUAAAGGAAUAAAACGAGGCACGUGUGCCUUUUUGCAUGUACUUUAUGAAUAAGGAUCGGCUAACUCCGUGCCAGCAGCCGCGGUAAUACGGAGGAUCCGAGCGUUAUCCGGAUUUAUUGGGGUUAAAGGGAGCGUAGAUGGGUUGUUAAGUCAGUUGUGAAAGUUUGCGGCUCAACCGUAAAAUUGCAAUUGAUACUGGCAGUCGUGAGUACAGUUGAGGUAAGCGGAAUUCGUGGUGUAGCGGUGAAAUGCGUAGAUAUCACGAAGAACCCCGAUUGCGAAGGCAGCUUACUAAACUGUGACUGACAUUGAUGCUCGAAAGUGUGGGUAUCAAACAGGAUUAGAUACCCCUGUAGUC
This 460-nucleotide ribosomal RNA is filed under the name uncultured bacterium. RNAcentral's name for it is "partial 16S ribosomal RNA". It matches the Rfam family "Bacterial small subunit ribosomal RNA", at positions 338 to 795 of the family's 1533-position model. The record is from RNAcentral.